RNAcentral lists this ribosomal RNA (277 nucleotides) under uncultured bacterium. RNAcentral's name for it is "partial 16S ribosomal RNA". It matches the Rfam family "Bacterial small subunit ribosomal RNA", at positions 780 to 1057 of the family's 1533-position model. The record is from RNAcentral.
AGAUACCCGGGUAGUCCACACCGUAAACGAUGAAUGCCAGUCGUCGGGUAGCAUGCUAUUCGGUGACACACCUAACGGAUUAAGCAUUCCGCCUGGGGAGUACGGUCGCAAGAUCAAAACUCAAAGGAAUUGACGGGGGCCCGCACAAGCGGUGGAGCAUGUGGUUUAAUUCGAAGCAACGCGCAGAACCUUACCAACCCUUGACAUCCUAGGACCGCCAGAGAGAUUUGGUUUUCUCGUAAGAGACCUAGUGACAGGUGCUGCAUGGCCGCCGUCA